AAUUGAAAAAAAAAUCAGAAACCCUUUGUCAUCAGAGAUAUUUUCUCUCUCAUCUCAACAUUUUCUCUGUCAUCAUUCCAACAUUUUUUCUCUUAUCUCAACCCAAUUGAAGAUGGUGGUAGCAAUUUGAAUCAGAGAUAUUUUUUAAAAAUUGAAAAAGUUUACUCUUUUAUAAUCAUUUUAUAUUUAUUAAUGUGUGUAAAAUGAAUAUAAACUUUGUCAU
RNAcentral lists this long non-coding RNA (223 nucleotides) under Vigna radiata. RNAcentral describes it as "long non-coding RNA (VRAD_LNC007735)". Lineage: Eukaryota; Viridiplantae; Streptophyta; Magnoliopsida; Fabales; Fabaceae. The record is from RNAcentral.